UUUAAGUAUAACCUUAGACAUUUUAAAUUUUCCUAUGUAAUAUUUAUUUUCCUGAGGUUUAAGAGAAAGAGUCUUUUGUCAUUUUCUUCCUUUGAUUUGUAUUUGUAUUGAAAGUGCAUUUAGAAAUGUAGGUCUAUGAGGAUUUCUUUUCCCUAAUCAAAUGAAGUAUUAUGAACUUGAGAAAAAUGGAGAGUUUGCCUCAGACAGAGUUUGGAGGUUUAAGGAAACAGGUUUAAGGUUUAAUUUUCUCUGAGGAGAAAAAUGAGAGAGAGAAAAAGAGUGAAAGCGAGAGUGUGAGAGGGAGAGGAGAGGAGAGGACAUUUGGAGUGUCUAGAAGAAUUGUGAUGGCUGUGGGGGACGCUUCCAAAGGAGUUCGUGAAAAUGGCAAAGCAUAUUUUUCUUAUCCCCUCGUCUUCCACCAAUGACUUUUGUUCCUGAACGGGUUAUUGUUUCUAGUUCUGUUUACCAAGAAGAGUGGACUCUCAUUGCCAGUGCUCUCAAAGCAACGGGACAGCGAGCUGAAUCAGGAGCGUUUUGGCACCGGGGAUGUUACACUGGGAGGCUUGCUCUGAAGGAAAGCAGCUGCUGCGUUGUGAGCUGCCCUAUGGAGAGGUCCAUGUAUUAAGGAACUGAUAUCUCCAGUCAGUGGCCAAUGAGGACCUGAAAGCUGCCAAUAGCCAAAUGAGGAGUCUUCAUUCAAGGCGCUCAGACAUUAGAGAAGACUUGGAUUCAGGAAUAUCGAAAGGCAUAAUACAGGUUUGGCAUUUUCCUUAGAUUUUAAGCAGAUGACCAUAGUGUUGGAAAGAGCCAAUACUUAUUUCUUUGCUUUUGCCCUAUGCAACCUGAAGUUAGUUUUUGUUUUCCUCUCAUCCUUUUGACCAGUUUCCUUGGGAGAUCUCCGAGAACUCUCCUAGCAUUUCAUAUUUUAGCAUUUUAUUUUCAUAUUUUAUAAUUGUUCUUUUUCUAAGAGAGAGAUAUAUGUAUAUAUAUAAUAUGUUGACACACAAACACAUAUGGGGAGAGACAGCACAAUUUAUAUUUGAUUUUGUUGUGUAUGAGAAAACACAUUCAUAAAUAAUAUGCAGAGAUAGUCUAAGUUUGGAUGUUGGUUGAGAUCCCCAGGGAGAUGAACUCUGGUCCUUUCCUUUUGAAAUGUCCUAUUCCUGCCCAUCAGCAUUAACCUCCCAUUUUCAAAGGUCUUUCUUUCUUUACAUCUCUCCCACUAGGGGGCCUAGAGUUGAACACACACUUCAGGAGAGCUCUUUGUAUACUUGUCUUAUUCAUAAGCUUUGUACUGAAGAAAAAAAAAAAAAAAAAAAAAGGUAAAAGCUCAUCUGGUAAUUUGAAUCUUUUCAUCUUGAAGAAGUUAUAUAGUGAAAGUUCAAUAAGUGACACUGAAAUAUGUCUUCCUUUUAAGAAGUGUAACCACCUUUUUCAGAUUUCAGAAAUAAGGUCUAAUAUGCAUUCACAUAAAUCAUAAGAAACAUUCAUCUGUCUAUAGGAUGUGAUUCACAUUUAAAGUAAAACAUUCUGGAGUUCCCAUCAUGGUUCAGUGGAAAUGAAUCUGACUAGCAUCCAUGAGGAUGCAGGUUCGAUUCCAGGCCUU
Molecule: non-coding RNA, 1606 nt
Organism: Sus scrofa (pig)
Lineage: Eukaryota; Metazoa; Chordata; Mammalia; Artiodactyla; Suidae
Source: RefSeq, a predicted model, not a curated record